RNAcentral lists this ribosomal RNA (401 nucleotides) under uncultured bacterium. Its description in RNAcentral is "bacterial SSU rRNA". It matches the Rfam family "Bacterial small subunit ribosomal RNA", at positions 358 to 774 of the family's 1533-position model. The record is from RNAcentral.
GGAAUAUUGGGCAAUGGGCGCAAGCCUGACCCAGCAACGCCGCGUGAAGGAAGAAGGCUUUCGGGUUGUAAACUUCUUUUAAGGGGGAAGAGCAGAAGACGGUACCCCUAGAAUAAGCCACGGCUAACUACGUGCCAGCAGCCGCGGUAAUACGUAGGUGGCAAGCGUUGUCCGGAUUUACUGGGUGUAAAGGGCGUGCAGCCGGAGUAGCAAGUCAGGCGUGAAAUUCAGGGGCUCAACCCCUGAACUGCGUUUGAAACUGUUACCCUUGAGUACCGGAGGGGCAAUCGGAAUUCCUAGUGUAGCGGUGAAAUGCGUAGAUAUUAGGAGGAACACCAGUGGCGAAGGCGGAUUGCUGGACGGCAACUGACGGUGAGGCGCGAAAGCGUGGGGAGCAAACA